This 468-nucleotide ribosomal RNA is filed under the name uncultured bacterium. RNAcentral describes it as "partial 16S ribosomal RNA". It matches the Rfam family "Bacterial small subunit ribosomal RNA", at positions 28 to 507 of the family's 1533-position model. The record is from RNAcentral.
GACGAACGCUGGCGGCGUGCUUAACACAUGCAAGUCGAACGGAAAGGCCCUGCUUUUGUGGGGUGCUCGAGUGGCGAACGGGUGAGUAACACGUGAGUAACCUGCCCUUGACUUUGGGAUAACUUCAGGAAACUGGGGCUAAUACCGGCUAGGAGCUCCUGCUGCAUGGUGGGGGUUGGAAAGUUUCGGCGGUUGGGGAUGGACUCGCGGCUUAGCAGCUUGUUGGUGGGGUAGUGGCUUACCAAGGCUUUGACGGGUAGCCGGCAUGAGAGGGUGAACGGGCACAUUGGGACUGAGAUACGGCCCAGACUCCUACGGGAGGCAGCAGGGGGGAAUAUUGCACAAUGGGCGGAAGCCUGAUGCAGCAACGCCGCGUGCGGGAUGACGGCCUUCGGGUUGUAAACCGCUUUCGCCUGUGACGAAGCGUGAGUGACGGUAAUGGGUAAAGAAGCACCGGCUAACUACGUG